RNAcentral lists this ribosomal RNA (254 nucleotides) under uncultured bacterium. RNAcentral describes it as "partial 16S ribosomal RNA". It matches the Rfam family "Bacterial small subunit ribosomal RNA", at positions 524 to 776 of the family's 1533-position model. The record is from RNAcentral.
CACGUAGGGUGCGAGCGUUGUCCGGAAUUAUUGGGCGUAAAGAGCUCGUAGGCGGUGUGUCGCGUCGGCCGUGAAAACCUGCAGCUUAACUGUGGGCUUGCGGUCGAUACGGGCAUCACUGGAGUGCGGCAGGGGAGACUGGAAUUCCUGGUGUAGCGGUGAAAUGCGCAGAUAUCAGGAGGAACACCGGUGGCGAAGGCGGUUCUCUGGGCAUGUCCUGACGCUGAGGAGCGAAAGUGUGGGGAGCGAACAGG